RNAcentral lists this ribosomal RNA (898 nucleotides) under uncultured archaeon. RNAcentral's name for it is "bacterial SSU rRNA". It matches the Rfam family "Archaeal small subunit ribosomal RNA", at positions 1 to 878 of the family's 1478-position model. The record is from RNAcentral.
CUUGGGUGAUCCUGCCGGACCCGACUGCUAUCGGAUUGAGAUUUAGCCAUGCGAGUCGAACGUCCCCCUGUUGCGGGGGGCGUGGCGUACGGCUCAGUAACACGUAGUCAACCUGCCCUGGAGACAAGGACAACCCCGGGAAACUGGGAUUAAUCCUUGAUAGGUCAUCUCAUCUGGAAGGAGAGAUGGCUUAAAGGGGUACGCGGGCUUCUUCCGCGAAUCUGCUCCAGGAUGGGACUGCGUCCGAUCAGGCUGUUGGCGGGGUAAUGGCCCACCAAACCUGUAACCGGUACGGGCCUUGAGAGAGGUGGCCCGGAGAUGGACACUGAGAGAAGGGUCCAGGUCCUACGGGGCGCAGCAGGCGCGAAACCUUCGCAAUGCGCGAAAGCGUGACGAGGUUAAUCCGAGUGACUCCCGCUGAGGGGGUCUUUUGUCAGCUGUAAAUAGGCAGGCGAAUAAGGGGAGGGCAAGCCUGGUGUCAGCCGCCGCGGUAAUACCAGCUCCUCGAGUGGUCGGGGCGAUUAUUGGGCCUAAAGCAUCCGUAGCCGGUUCCGUAGGUCCUCUGUUAAAUCCAACCGCUUAACGGUUGACCUGCAGAGGAUACCGCGGGACUAGGAGGCGGGAGAGGCGGACGGUACUCCGCGUGUAGGGGUAAAAUCCUUUGAUCCGCGGAAGACCACCAGUGGCGAAGGCGGUCCGCCAGAACGCGCUCGACGGUGAGGGAUGAAAGCUGGGGGAGCGAACCGGAUUAGAUACCCGGGUAGUCCCAGCCGUAAACGAUGCUAGCUAGAUGAUUCAUUCGCAAGUCGCGAAUGAAGUGUCGCAGGGAAGCCGUUAAGCUAGCCGCCUGGGAAGUACGGACGCAAGUCUGAAACUUAAAGGAAUUGGCGGGGGAGCA